AAGUCGUAACAAGGUUGCCGUAGGUGAACCUGCGGCAGGAUCAUUAUGAAGUACGAAGGCGCUAGCCUGAGUACGUAUGUGUGAAGGCGAUAGCCUGAAUACAUUGUUGAGUCAAGGGUGUUAACCCGAGACUCUACAUUCAUCCCAGUGUGAAUUACUUUCAUUGAUUAACUAUCAUACACUACUAAGACCACAUCAUAUAAACAUAAUCUAUACAACUUUCAACAAUGGAUCUCUUGGUUCUC
Molecule: unclassified non-coding RNA, 245 nt
Filed under: fungal sp.
Lineage: Eukaryota; Fungi
Description: partial internal transcribed spacer region
Rfam family: Eukaryotic small subunit ribosomal RNA (bases 1-46)
Source: RNAcentral